RNAcentral lists this ribosomal RNA (464 nucleotides) under uncultured bacterium. RNAcentral's name for it is "partial 16S ribosomal RNA". It matches the Rfam family "Bacterial small subunit ribosomal RNA", at positions 339 to 795 of the family's 1533-position model. The record is from RNAcentral.
CUACGGGGGGCACCAGUCGAGAAUCUUUUGCAAUGUCCGCAAGGAUGACAAUGCGACGCCGCGUGAGCGAUGAAGGCCUUCGGGUUGUAAAGCUCUGUCAGCUCGGAUGAAAACCCUUGGUUGAACAGGCCAAGGGUCUGACGGUACGAGCAGAGGAAGCUACGGCUAACUCCGUGCCAGCAGCCGCGGUAAUACGGAGGUAGCAAGCGUUGUUCGGAUUCACUGGGUGUAAAGGUCAUGUAGGCGUCUCUUUAAGUCGGGUGUGAAAUCCCUUGGCUCAACCAAGGAACUGCGCCCGAUACUGGGGAGAUUGAGUACUUGAGAGGUAAGCGGAAUUCCGGAAGUAAGGGUGAAAUCUGUAGAUAUCCGGAAGAACACCAUUAGCGAAGGCGGCUUACUGGCAAGAUACUGACGCUGAAAUGAGAAAGCUAGGGGAGCAAACAGGAUUAGAUACCCGAGUAGUC